GGUCUUGCUGUCACUUAUAGAUGGAUCCGCGCUGCAUUAGCUAGUUGGUAAGGUAACGGCUUACCAAGGCAACGAUGCAUAGCCGACCUGAGAGGGUGAUCGGCCACACUGGAACUGAGACACGGUCCAGACUCCUACGGGAGGCAGCAGUAGGGAAUCUUCCGCAAUGGGCGAAAGCCUGACGGAGCAACGCCGCGUGAGUGAUGAAGGUCUUCGGAUCGUAAAACUCUGUUAUUAGGGAAGAACAUAUGUGUAAGUAACUGUGCACAUCUUGACGGUACCUAAUCAGAAAGCCACGGCUAACUACGUGCCAGCAGCCGCGGUAAUACGUAGGUGGCAAGCGUUAUCCGGAAUUAUUGGGCGUAAAGCGCGCGUAGGCGGUUUUUUAAGUCUGAUGUGAAAGCCCACGGCUCAACCGUGGAGGGUCAUUGGAAACUGGAAAACUUGAGUGCAGAAGAGGAAAGUGGAAUUCCAUGUGUAGCGGUGAAAUGCGCAGAGAUAUGGAGGAACACCAGUGGCGAAGGCGACUUUCUGGUCUGUAACUGACGCUGAUGUGCGAAAGCGUGGGGAUCAAACAGGAUUAGAUACCCUGGUAGUCCACGCCGUAAACGAUGAGUGCUAAGUGUUAGGGGGUUUCCGCCCCUUAGUGCUGCAGCUAACGCAUUAAGCACUCCGCCUGGGGAGUACGACCGCAAGGUUGAAACUCAAAGGAAUUGACGGGGACCCGCACAAGCGGUGGAGCAUGUGGUUUAAUUCGAAGCAACGCGAAGAACCUUACCAAAUCUUGACAUCCUUUGACAACUCUAGAGAUAGAGCCUUCCCCUUCGGGGGACAAAGUGACAGGUGGUGCAUGGUUGUCGUCAGCUCGUGUCGUGAGAUGUUGGGUUAAGUCCCGCAACGAGCGCAACCCUUAAGCUUAGUUGCCAUCAUUAAGUUGGGCACUCUAAGUUGACUGCCGGUGACAAACCGGAGGAAGGUGGGGAUGACGUCAAAUCAUCAUGCCCCUUAUGAUUUGGGCUACACACGUGCUACAAUGGACAAUACAAAGGGCAGCGAAACCGCGAGGUCAAGCAAAUCCCAUAAAGUUGUUCUCAGUUCGGAUUGUAGUCUGCAACUCGACUACAUGAAGCUGGAAUCGCUAGUAAUCGUAGAUCAGCAUGCUACGGUGAAUACGUUCCCGGGUCUUGUACACACCGCCCGUCACACCACGAGAGUUUGUAACACCCGAAGCCGGUGGAGUAACCUUUUAGGAGCUAGCCGUCGAAGGUGGGACAAAUGAUUGGGGUGAAGUCGUAACAAGGUAGCCGUAUCGGAAGGUGCGGCU
RNAcentral lists this ribosomal RNA (1324 nucleotides) under Staphylococcus aureus. Its description in RNAcentral is "bacterial SSU rRNA". It matches the Rfam family "Bacterial small subunit ribosomal RNA", at positions 202 to 1519 of the family's 1533-position model. Lineage: Bacteria; Bacillati; Bacillota; Bacilli; Caryophanales; Staphylococcaceae. The record is from RNAcentral.